CCUACGGGUGGCAGCAGUGAGGAAUAUUGGUCAAUGGACGAGAGUCUGAACCAGCCAAGUAGCGUGAAGGAUGACUGCCCUAUGGGUUGUAAACUUCUUGUAUAUGGGAAUAAAAUGUUCCACGUGUGGGAUUUUGUAUGUACCAUAUGAAUAAGUAUCGGCUAACUCCGUGCCAGCAGCCGCGGUAAUACGGAGGAUCCGAGCGUUAUCCGGAUUUAUUGGGUUUAAAGGGAGCGUAGGUGGAUUGUUAAGUCAGUUGUGAAAGUUUGCGGCUCAACCGUAAAAUUGCAGUUGAAACUGGCAGUCUUGAGUACAGUAGAGGUGGGCGGAAUUCGUGGUGUAGCGGUGAAAUGCUUAGAUAUCACGAAGAACUCCGAUUGCGAAGGCAGUUCACUGGACUGCAACUGACACUGAGGCUCGAAAGUGUGGGUAUCAAACAGGAUUAGAUACCCUAGUAGUC
RNAcentral lists this ribosomal RNA (460 nucleotides) under uncultured bacterium. RNAcentral describes it as "partial 16S ribosomal RNA". It matches the Rfam family "Bacterial small subunit ribosomal RNA", at positions 338 to 795 of the family's 1533-position model. The record is from RNAcentral.